Molecule: long non-coding RNA, 293 nt
Filed under: Elaeis guineensis (African oil palm)
Lineage: Eukaryota; Viridiplantae; Streptophyta; Magnoliopsida; Arecales; Arecaceae
Description: long non-coding RNA (EGUI_LNC005109)
Source: RNAcentral
GGACUUAAUUAUAAAUAUUAUAAUUUUAUUAAGGUUGAUUAAAUUAUGAAUUAAAUUUUAAUUAAUUUAAAUUAAAUUAAAUUUAAUUAUAUUUAAUUUAAUUUAAUAUUAAUUGGAUCUAAUUAUCCAAAUUAGAUUUGGAUUUCAAGCUUCAUUGGAUCAGGCUUGACAGCCUUUCGAAUUCGACUCGAUUCGGAUUCGAUUUGAAUCCUAUUGAGACCUAAUCUAAAUCAAAUGAACUAUAACUCAGAGAGCCCAGGUUCUCUGAAACUCUUUCUCUAGAUUUCACGCCA